GCAUUGACACAAUUUGAUUAUAAUUGUAAGGGAGAUUAAACUAAACUUCAUAAGGUCGUGGGUAUUUGUAUUUGAUACAACUCAUUUUAAUUAAUGGUGAGAGAUCCAAAUAUAAUUGUCACUAGCUAGAAUACUAGUCUUGUUAUAAAUUUCACUAAGAGAUUCAAAUUCCCUUCAGGGUCUUGGGCUUAAGCUAGCCUUUGUACCAACUGCUGUGCGACAGCAUUCUACACUAAUGAGAUAAGGCAACUGGGCUCAAACACAAGCCCAAGCGAGGCUGAAACAAACGAGUGAAUUCAUUAACUCAAUAGAGAGCCCAAUUCACUGUAAAUUUAUUAUUACAUAAGCAUCAAAAUAGACCUACAACUACUAAAAAAACUAAUACAGCUGUAGAUUAUCUAAAAUAUGACAUAUUCAUAUAAUAACCAUUCACUCCUUGUACAGCACACUACUAGUUAAUAUUACAACAGAAAUUUAAUGAACUAACAGGCAUGGUACUUUAAAUGCGAUGCAUUGCUGAUACGUAAUUUCAUACAAUAUCAAAAAUUGAUUCCAAGUUCAACACCCCCAUUACAUUAUUUGGAACCUAUCGAAUCGCAAAUUCAUAGAUUGAAUCAUGACUCCUCAAGGACACAAAUGCCCUGCCUUGCUUGGAUAAUAAGUAUGCACUAGAUAAAUAAGAUAUACAAUUCAGAUUCCAAAGGUAGAUGUGAGUCAAAUAUGAAACCAACUUCAAUCACAUCUAUGUAGAAUAAUAAAUAUAAAAAACAGGAAGCAUAUCUCAAUUCCCAUAUAAACAAGGGGAUAUUAACCCAUAUUACUGACCUCCUCCAACCUAUAUUUAAUAGCCUAAAGGCAAACUCAGACCAACUACACUUAAACCAGUCCAAUUACUGACCUCACAACAAACAAAUAGCAAAACUGGAUAUAGGUUAAGAGACCUAAAACUAAGCUACAUGCUACUCAGGGCUAAGUCUGUGAUUAUAUUGCUCAAGGUUGAGGAGACGGUACAUGGACCUCAUAAAAUAAACAAAACAAGCAAAUACACUAAUAUUAUCAAUCCAAAUGAAAGUGAAGAUGGCUCAAAACUUCAUAUUCCAUUUCCAUAACCAAAUCAAGCUUUCCGUUCAAAGGGAGGGCAUGAAUGUAUACCUGGGAAAGAAAAAAGCAAAAUGAAAGGUAGAGGAUCAACAGAGCAAAGCAAUAUCAGCAGGUUCAAGCAAUAGAAACCAACAGUAGCAACCAGAGAUCAGUCAAAAACCUAACAGAAUUGCAGUAUUCACACAACUUGAACCAUAAACUUUCAGAAAAAAACCAAUAUCAACCCAUACUUAAACUCAAAUCAACCAGAAAGUAUUUCACAGUCUGAAAAUUUUCAGAAAAAUCGGUCUAUAGAUUAAUAUAACAGUAGUGUCUCAAUUUUCUGUUGUUUUAGGAAUUUUUUCUUAUUUCGAGAUCCUCUUCUCUUUUCUCAUCUUCAAGUAAGAAUGCCUUUAUAGGCAAGUUACUAACGCAACUUCAGGUUUUGUUUUUUCCCUUUUAGACCUUUCUACAGUUUUCUUUUGCUAGUUAGUCCUUUAUUUUAUGACUUGCUACCCAAGUUACACUACCUAAAAGCUGAAAUUCAAAUUAACACCCUAACCUAGAAGCUUCUUAUUUCAAUUAUGCAGAGAUUCUCUAAGUGCAUUGCCCUAAGUACCCUUGAAAUUACUGAAAAUUAUUUUGAGAACCAAAUGAACAACAACCGGGCCUCUUUGAAUUGGGUCACAAAUGACUCAAAGGGCCCAAGCUAAUUUGAAAUCAGUCAUUUCUGAUCCAAGCCUUACCAACACCAAUUGACAAAAAACAGGUACUAAAUCUGACCAUUGAAUCAACACUUAAGGAAAUAACAGAUCACUAAUAGCAAAAUUAACAAAAUGGAAACAAGAUUACUGAUGAAUUCAUGCUCUUUAAUUUUACUAACUAGUAAGAUGAAACAAAGUAAAGAAACAAAAAGCACAUUAAGAACCAAAUCAUUCUGAUUCCACAACAAUGAGCCUACCUUUACUACCUAAACGAUUGAACUGAUUUAGCAAAUAAAAUCACAACCCAAAGGGACUCAAAAGUUCAGAUAGUUCAAUUCAAAAAGAAAAGAAAAUGGUCUGGUUCUUUCCAAAAUGCCUUAACCUACUCCGUCUACCCAGAGAAGGGGUGAGGAAGAAAAUGAGCCAGAAAAAAUCAAAAGAGGGGAGGAGAACUUACUCAAUCCGGCUCGAACAUGGUUGCCUAUAGCUUCAUGCAUGGAAUGUCCUGGCUUCAGAUUUUAAUUCGAGAAGCUACAGUGGUGUUCGAAGGACAUUGAUGAGGAAUUGGAAUGGGGGAGAUACGGGGAUCCUUUUUUGUUAAUUUGGGAUCGAUUGGUGGCGGUGCUGCCGUGUCCGGGAGAGGAGUAAAUACUUCUGGCCAAUAUUCGAGAGGUUUGGCUUGGCUUUGAGGGAAAGCGACUGUGGAUUUGGGAAGAUGAGAGGGAGGGGAAGCAGUGGUAUUAAAUUGGCGGUCAUCGGAGCUCCGCCGCUGGCGGAAGCGAUUUCCGACCGGUGGUUCAUGGCGAUGGAAGGCGGAGACGGCAGGGUUCUCUAGGGUUACAGGGUGAUGGUGAGAGACGAGGUUUGGGGGGUGGGGGGCAUUUGGACAUAUAUAUUCUCAAAACUCCUCAUUUCUCAGACGUUGGUCUUGAAUCCUAGAUGGUUGAGAUUUAAUCCAAUGAAACGGCGUCGUUUCAUUUUAAAGGUUGCUUGACCAGGUUUGGGUGUGUAACUGGGCUGGCCUGUUUGUUU
RNAcentral lists this long non-coding RNA (2816 nucleotides) under Nicotiana benthamiana. RNAcentral describes it as "long non-coding RNA (NBEN_LNC035838)". The record is from RNAcentral. Lineage: Eukaryota; Viridiplantae; Streptophyta; Magnoliopsida; Solanales; Solanaceae.